ACGCUCGAAAGGCAAGUCACCCGAAAGGGUGAACACGCAAAGCUUCAGGUCUAAGGUUGUCAGUAAGCUGACUUCUACGAUAGCUGGGCUGCCGUC
This 96-nucleotide non-coding RNA is filed under the name Rheinheimera nanhaiensis E407-8. RNAcentral's name for it is "Rheinheimera sp. E407-8 c-di-GMP-I riboswitch aptamer". It matches the Rfam family "c-di-GMP-I riboswitch aptamer". From Rfam's summary of the family: GEMM was predicted in a large-scale screen for bacterial structured RNA regulatory elements. Genes associated with GEMM are involved in a diverse array of functions, including chemotaxis regulation, signal transduction, secretion and chitin. The record is from Rfam by way of RNAcentral. RNAcentral also lists the same sequence under 1 other name. Lineage: Bacteria; Pseudomonadati; Pseudomonadota; Gammaproteobacteria; Chromatiales; Chromatiaceae.